This 853-nucleotide long non-coding RNA is filed under the name Bos indicus x Bos taurus (hybrid cattle). Its description in RNAcentral is "lncRNA (ENSBIXG00000029327.1)". The record is from RNAcentral. Lineage: Eukaryota; Metazoa; Chordata; Mammalia; Artiodactyla; Bovidae.
GCAGGUUCUCCACACCCACUCUCUCCUAGCUCCCUGCCGUCCCUCUGGGCACAGUGUGUUCCCGGAUCCUCUCAACAAGCCUCCUCUCCUCUCCUGGCUGCCGGGCGCCGUCUCCCGCGGUUCCUCACUCUCUGGCCUAUCGGACAGAGGUGGACCUCUCCUCCACCACCCUCUCUCAGUUGUCCGAGGUAGCUCACCUGACCUCCCACAUCCUGGGCCCGGUUUCUAGGUCUCUCCUGGUUUCUCCAGGUCACACACAGCAACACUUCUGCUACUCUCUGUGACCCUCCAGCCGGCCUGCGUUGUCUCCUCUGCUGUGUGCGCCCUUCUCAGUCUCCCAUCCGCUGCUCAAGCCAGUUGAGCCGUCUCUGCCUCAGACAUACUGUCACACACUGUCCACAUGUCCAGCCUCCAAAGCUCCUAUCCUCCCAGCUCCCCCCAGUGUAACCUUUCCUAUUCCAUUCAGAUCGUUUCACACUCCUCUGACACAUUCGAGGGGAACCUUUCCUGACUCUCUGCCUUCAUCCCUUCACCACACUCCUGAUACCUUUAGCCUCGCCCUGGGCUGCCACCCCUCCCUACCCCCAGCCUCCCUCUGCACUGAGCCCUGGGCCUGCUGCCGCCCUCCUCCUCCUCCCUCCUAGCAGCCACCUCUCCCCAGACGCUCUCCUGCACUGACCUCUCCCACCCACUUCGAGCUUUACAUCAGUGUGGACGUCCCCUCUGGUGCUCUCUGCCCGCGUACAUACAACCCCUCUUCCUUUCAUUCUCCACUUGCAUGCCUGGGCUUCGUAUCUCAAGCAUCCUGAGCUCUGGGACCACCAAGUUGGCAAUUCACUCUUGAACCAUUAAC